Molecule: long non-coding RNA, 211 nt
Organism: Octopus sinensis (East Asian common octopus)
Lineage: Eukaryota; Metazoa; Mollusca; Cephalopoda; Octopoda; Octopodidae
Exons: 3
Source: RefSeq, a predicted model, not a curated record
GCAGGACUUUCUCAUUGGAGGGCAGGAUGGAAAGAUUGGACAAAAGAGAGGAAAGAGUCUAUUUGUUUGCGGGAGAGUGAGGUUGCACCGAUACAGUCAUCAAUAUAACGACCAUAUAGUUCGGGAGUGGGACCAGUGAAACUUGAGAAUAUUUGGGCCUCAAUGUAGUCAACGAGCAGGUUCGCAUAGUUGGGGCCCAUUCUCGUUCCCA